GAAAUAAAAAACGUGACCAUUGUUGAGUUCGACAGUGGCCGCCAUUUGUUUAUUUUCAAACACAUGUCCGGCAUCGUAACACCCACUCUUUAUUUUUAAAUUAGAAAAUAUUAAUCAAGCGGGAAAUAAAUUAUUUAAAACGUAUUAUUGUAGCCAAAUCAAAAUAGUGUCGUAUUGUUUUACAGGUACCAUAUUCUAUACAUGGAGAUAUAAAGGAGUUAACCCAUUCAUGGCCAACCCAAGACCCGUCGAGGCGGCGACCACGAAGGCGUUAUGAAGGCGUUUUAAAAAACUUGUAAAUAUUUGUCACACGCUAUUAUACAUUAUUAGUUAAUGGUGAGGUGGUGACUGUUUCAACUGCCUUGUUUUAUAUUGUAACGAAUUUUUUAAAUGAAUAUUAACAUCAUUGUAAGUAGGUAAUUGCCUACCCAAUACAACGAUCACCGAAUGUUAUGACAUAAAAGUACAGUCCUCGUUGCCUUACCCUUCACACAAAAGAAAAUAUUAUUAUACUACGGCUUGGUAAAUGUUGCUUGCCAUCGUCUAAACACUAAUCGGUUGUAAUAUGGUAGAACAUCAAACAGCUUCAACAUGUAAUAAGCUUUAAAACCAGCCAAUUUAGUACAUUACGAUACAAGUGCGAAAAAUAGGAAAUUCGAAACGAGUGGCGAUAAAUUAAAACACGACCGAAGGGAGUGUUUUAAAUCGACACGAGUUGCGAAUUACCUAUUCGCACAUGUAUCGUACAACGUUUUACAGUACAUAUGGCCCUUUAAAUGUUCGACACAGUAACGUAAUAUGCUACUUCUCGCACUAGUGCUAUAAAGUAGCCCCAUAUGUACUGUAAAAGUUUAUUUUGGCCUGCUACGGAAACAUUUGUCGUUUUUACAAGUAGCGCCAGGCCACGGUGACCCAUACCCUGAGUCAUGUCAAUAACUUCUAAAAUAAACAUAUUUUUGGUAUCUUUGAAAUUCGGAUUUUUUUGUUUGCUUGCAACGCGUAUUGCACUAAUAGUAAACCAAAAUUGAAUAUUCUAGGCUCUAUUUUCAUUAAAAAAAACUUGUAUAUAAUUUUUAAUCGUAAUAUACCUUAUAGAAAUGGUUGUUAACUUGGUGGAUACGUACGUUAUUAACUUAUUACGUCAAAUUAUGUUUCGUUUAUGUUUAAAUCAGAAUCUCUUCAUGACUCACAUGUGAGUCACUGGCCUUGCGGAACUGUUUGAGCAUGACCCAUACGCUGAGUCGCUGGCCCUGAAUGGGUUAAAACUUAAGAGUGACAGAGAAAGAUGCUCUCAAUUUGCGAACUUCGGCGUUCGGGCCUACACACAAUUAGACGUUACGACGACGUGCCGUGGCACGUUGCGGCGUCGUGACGUCCAAAUCUACGGCGUGUAACGUAAAAAAUCACGUCACGGCAUUGUGCCGUGGCACGUUGCCGCAACGUGCGACGUCACGACGUCGUGUCGCAGGCCGUCGAUACGUUGCCGUCGAAAUUUUAUGCCGCAGUUGAUCAAGAGCCAUGGACCGCACCAGACUUGUCUUCAUCCUGCUGCUAUUAAGAAGUCGCCUAAUUGGGACCGUGCGAAGUGCGUGGUGGGGGUAAAUAAAGCGAUCCCAGCGCAUAAGGUGGUAAAAAUUUGAACUAACUGCGGAUAGCGUCUUUAACAUUUCGUACGAUUAUAUGGCUCGAAAUGAAACUUUGGUUUACGAUUACUCCUGAAAUAUUCAUUUAAAUUGUAUGAUGUAAGAGACCAUUGUAAUUUGAAUGAAAUUCUUAAUAUAACUAACGUAUUUAUUUUGAUAAUUGUUAAUAAUGUAUCCAUGUAAAUAGCUUUGCAAAUGCCACAUAUUACGUGAUCUUUUUCUAGAAGUUAAGAAUGGAUAUAGUAAGUUACCCUUAAAAGAUAGACAUUUCACAUCGCGGACUUUUUUGUAGACCUAUGAAUGAGAAACAACUCCACCAUACAUUGUGUUGUUAUAGCUCAAACGGAUUAGGCAGCGUUCUCGAUUAAAGCUCCUAGCCAGCGUGAUUUUUUCCGACAACAUCGUUAUAUUUCAAACAAUUUACACAAAACCUUAACAAGUUAUAUACUUAAGCCUUCCUCAAGAAUCACUCUAUUGAUAGAUGAAAGUCAGGAAGUUCAGGAAAUUAAUCUUUUAGGUAUAACAAUAGACUCCGGAGUAAAUUGGAAAGCACAUAUUCAACAAGUUAAAAGUAAAAUGUCAAUAUUUAUAUAUGCCCUUUAUAUACUAAAAUCAAAUACUAAUUUUGAAUGUGCAUUAUCUGCGUACUACGCAAACGCAUGCGCAUGGCUCAGAUAUGGUGUUGUGCUAUGGGGGGGUAGCACCGAAGCGAAACAACUGUUUGUAAUGCAAAAAAAGUGUGUCCGCGUCCUUGCAAAUGUGCGUUUUCCAAACAGUUGUAGCCAAUAUUUUAUUCAGUAUGGAUUAUUGACAUUGCCCUCUAUUUAUAUACUACAAUGUGCCAUCUUUGUUCGUGAAAACCCCCACUUAUUCGAAGUGAAGCAAGAUAAGCAGAGAACUAGAGAGCAGUACAGAAAUAAACUCUUGAUCCCAAAAUGCAAUUUACAAAUGUAUAAAAAUAGCCCACACUACAAUUGUAUCUUAAUUACUAAUAAGAUCCCAAAUUCCAUUAAUCAAGAACCUCGACACGCCGUAUUUAAAAACAAGCUAGAAACAUUAUUAAUAGAAAAAUGUUAUUACUCUGUAAAAGAUUUCCUAAAUGAUAAUAAUUUAUUAUAAACGUAAUUGAAUCUUAUUUUAAGUAAUUGGACUGCAAUAGUUACUAAAUUUACUUUGACUGAAUUUGUUUUAAUUAAUGAUUGAUCUGAUUUAUUUUAUACAUUUAUUGAUUUUUGUGUUAUUUCUACUUUAAUUUAAAUUAUUUUGUUUUAAUUAUUUUAAUUUUAAUAUUUUUGUUUUGUUUUGGCCUAAUUUAAUUAGUUAUAAGUAUGUUGUGUGCCCUAGCAGGGCGUCAUGGACUGACAUUAUUACUUAUUUAACACCUUUUAGAUUUUAUGUACAUGAUUUUACAACGAAAUAAAUGAUAUGAAAGUCGUAUGAAAAUCC
Cydia pomonella (codling moth) is the source of this 3089-nucleotide long non-coding RNA. RefSeq lists it as uncharacterized. The transcript is spliced from 2 exons. The record is from RefSeq and is a predicted model, not a curated record. Lineage: Eukaryota; Metazoa; Arthropoda; Insecta; Lepidoptera; Tortricidae.